ACCUCGGGAAACUGAGAAUAAUACCCCAUAGGUUUAGGGUGCUGGAAUGGUUCUAUGCUGAAAACUCCGGUGCCCCAGGAUUGGUCUGCGGCUUAUCAGGUUGUAGUGGGUGUAAGGGACCCACUAGCCUAUGACGAGUAUGGGCCUUGAGAGAGGAAGCCCACAGAUGGACUCUGAGACAUGAGUCCAGGCCCUACGGGGCGCAGCAGUCGCGAAAACUUCACAAUGGGGAGAAAUCCCGAUGAGGGAUUACCAAGUGCCAGCACUUUUUGUGUUUGGCUGUUCCCCUGUCUAAAAAACAGGAAAAAGUAAGGGCCGGGUAAAAACGGGGUGCCAGCCCGCCCGCGGAAAAUACCCCGCGCCCCGGGGUGGUGGUCGAUAUUAUUGAACCCUAAAAACGUCCGUAGCCCGGUCCUCAUAAAAUCCCUUGGGUAAAAUCGGGCCAGCUUAAACUGUCCCGAAGUCCCGAGGAGCCUUGUGAGACUGGGGAUCGGGGGAAGGUCAGAAGGUACUUUCUGGGGGUAGGGGGUAAAAAUCUUUGUAAUUCCCUGGAAGGACCACCGGUGGCGGAAGCGCUUUCUUGACUAGAAACGGAAUUUCGAACGGUGAGGGACGAAGCCCCUGGGGGGCGCAAAACGGGGAUUAAGAUACCCCCGGUAGUCCAGGGUGUAAACCGCUUGCCGGGCUUGGUGGUUGGGGGGUCCCUUUGGUGGGGCGCCCAGGUGCCGGAAGAGAAAGUUUGUUAAAGCCUGGCUGCUUUGGGGGAGUACGUCCGCAAAGCAUGAAACUUUAA
RNAcentral lists this ribosomal RNA (793 nucleotides) under uncultured archaeon. Its description in RNAcentral is "partial 16S ribosomal RNA". It matches the Rfam family "Archaeal small subunit ribosomal RNA", at positions 129 to 860 of the family's 1478-position model. The record is from RNAcentral.